Molecule: long non-coding RNA, 333 nt
Filed under: Homo sapiens (human)
Lineage: Eukaryota; Metazoa; Chordata; Mammalia; Primates; Hominidae
Description: HSALNT0363932
Source: RNAcentral
CAACCCUGCUGACAGAGGCUUCCCCUCCAGUGCCAGAGGCAGACACAGACACAGACAGUGACUGUGGGUGUGACCAGCACUGCGACAGAGGGAAGGAGGCACUCUGGCUGGGGAAGCCAGGGCAGAUGGCAUCUGAUCUGCUUCAAGGAUGCUCAAAGGCUCCUGACUGUGGAGAGCUAAAGCUGCCAGGAGCUGCCUGUGCUUGCCAAGUGGUUGCAGAUGUUUCCUCCCUACUGCUCUGACUUUGCCAGGAGCAUAAAUUCAGUGAAUCUACGUGACUCUCAGUGAUGGCAUCAUUGCCUAAUAUCCACCCAGCUUCUGCUUGAAAACUUC